UUAACUUUUAAAACGGUUUACAUUUUUUUAAACCGUUUUUAAGUGUUUACAUGACGUUAAUGGGUCUUAAUUUCAAAACGGUUUAAUUUCCCGUUUUAACGCUAUCAUAUAAACGUAGAAAUUGUGUUAGAUAUAAUGUUUUAACAAAAAAUAUUAGUAACUUAUUUUAACUGUUAUUUCGAUAGUAACAGAAGCAGUUUAUAGCAGUUUUUAGAAUUGAUAACAGGUUACCAUCACUAAAAUAAUGGUGAUAUUGUGUCCGAUCAUGUAAUAUACGAGUAUCUAUUAUCACAAAAGUGAGCACAGGAAAUAUAAAUUACAAAUUAUAAUUAAUUCAUAAUUUACAAAUCAUUGUAUGUAUGUUUAUAAUUUUAAAUUCUUAUUGGAAGAAAAGAGCUGUUCCACAGAUUUUGGUUUUUAUGGAUUAGGCUGUUCUGGCUCUAUGUGCCUCAAUUGUUUAUGUUAUGUAACUAAUACAAAUACUAUAAAAAUUUAGUUUCCUUGUUGAAUACAAAAUAGCAGAACUCAAUUAUACUACUAAAAAACUGGUGAACACAAGUGUUUAAGAAAUUAAUCUUCCAACAUCAGGAAUAUUACCAUUAUUAUUCAAGUGCAUAGGCGAAACUACAUGUCAGGCCAGUCAGGUCAUGGCUUGACCUUAUACCAACAAAAAAUAUUUAUGAUGAAUUCAUUUUUUCUGAAUGAAGCUCAGAUUCAAGUAUUCAGAGAAGUGACAAGUACCUAAAAAGAUUUUUACAACCAUAUACUUAUCGUUAUUUUUGAAACUGAUUUUAAAUAGUUUAGCAUUAAUUUAUAUAUAUAAGAUGUGUUAAGAAUAAACAAAUAUCAAAUAAUUUCUAUCAUUGUUAUUCAUUAAUUACUCAUAUUAUAGAAUAGGCCUAAUCCUAGAUCUUUGUACCUAGGAAGGCAAAUUGUAAAAUUUUAAUUUUUACAUAUUAUAACUAUCCACCUAUCUAAUUGUUGUGACUAUUUUCUUCGAGUAUUAUAA
Long non-coding RNA from Sipha flava (yellow sugarcane aphid), 1009 nucleotides. RefSeq lists it as uncharacterized. The transcript is spliced from 3 exons. The record is from RefSeq and is a predicted model, not a curated record. NCBI's taxonomy places the organism in Eukaryota, Metazoa, Arthropoda, Insecta, Hemiptera, Aphididae.